Molecule: long non-coding RNA, 5939 nt
Filed under: Lynx pardinus (Iberian lynx)
Lineage: Eukaryota; Metazoa; Chordata; Mammalia; Carnivora; Felidae
Source: RNAcentral
UGAGAGUGGACAUCUGUGCACGGGGCUCGGAGGAGUGUGGGCGAGAGGCGGUCGGGCCAGGGCAGGCUAAGCCAGAGGCUUUGCUUUCUUCCUGGGCUUCCCACAUCUGCUGAGGCUGCCCUUGACUUCUGCUACGAUGGAGGUCUUCUUAACCACCUCUGUGCGUGGACCGCUGAGGGGAGCCAAUGGACCCCUUCUCAGGGUAAGGUAAGUGCAUAUGAUAAAAUACAGAGGACUUAAAAAACGACAAUGAUAUUAGAAUAAACUUAUCCGGAUAUUGUAAAAACUGGGGCGCCUGGGUGGCUCAGUCGGUUAAGCGUCCGACUUCGGCUCAGGUCACGAUCUCGCGGUCCGUGAGUUCGAGCCCCGUGUCGGGCUCUGGGCUGACGGCUCAGAGCCUGGAGCCUGCUUCCCAUUCUGUGUCUCCCUCUCUCUCUGCCCCUCCCCCGUUCAUGCUCUGUCUCAAAAAUAAAUAAACGUUAAAAAAAAAAAAAAGAAUAUCGUAAAAACCGAUUUUGUGUCAUAGUUCCAUAGGUGGUUCUUUUCCGAUGCUUUGAUAGUAAGACUGGGCAAGAGUAAUCUAUUUCUAUACAUGUCUAAUAAAGAUCAUAACAUCAAAGCAGUGAUGAGCAUAAAUGAUAUUUCAAGAGGUCUGUGACAACUAUAAUAUGAUGUAAAAAAUAUCUGCGCUUUUGCUUGGCUUCAAAGUACUACUAAUAUAACUGAGGCAUGUCGCCUAUGAUAUCAUUUUUCUCAUCUAAGUUCAUGGACUCCCCCAAAUUCUAUCUACACAUCACUUGGGGGGCCAGAGACCCCAGAUUAAGAACUCCUAGGGGCGCCUGGGUGGCUCGGUCAGUGAAGCAUCUGACUUUGGCUCAGGUCAUGAUCUCACGGUUCGUGGGUUCAAGCCCCGCGUCGGGCUCUGUGCUGACAGCUCAGAACCCGGGACCUGCUUCGGAUUCUGUGUGUGUCUCUCUCUUCCUGCCCCUCCCUUGCUCAUACACUCUCUCUCUCUCUCAAAAAUAAACAUUAAAAAUUUUUUUGAAAUAAAAGAACUCCUAUUUAUUAUUCUGUUGGUAGUUGAAAGAAGCGAGCUCAACCCUGGAGCCAGGAGCUGGAUUUUACAGCCCAGCUGCUCUCCUCCCCACCACCAGCCCAUCCCCCNNNNNNNNCCCCCCCCCCCCCCCCCCCCCCCCCCCCCCCCGCCCCGAACUCCUCGGCAUCUGCAGGCUGGUGAUCAGCCACAGUGGUCUUCCGGCAAGCCUCAACACAUGACCUGUGACCGAUAAUUACUUGUCCAUCCAUCCAUCCAUCCACGCAUGCAUGCAUCCAUUCAGGCAUCACUCACCAAAUGUUUAUAGACCUGGGCUCUGGGCUGAUAUCUCAAGAGGUCUCCAGGCUGAUGGAUGAGGAGACGCAUAAAUAAACAACAAUAUAAUAUUAGUGCUAAUAAGAGGUAUGAACAAAGAGAGGCAGACACAAAGUCAGAGGCUGGGAGGGCAUCCCAGACAGAGCCAAUGUCAUGUGCAGUGCCCUAAAGGCAAGAAAAGGUGGGGCACGUCCGAGAAACUGUGUGGCAACAAGGUGGGGAAGGAAUGAGACAUGAAUCUAGGGUGGUGGUCACAGGUAUGGAUUUCAUCAGCCACUGACAUCUCCAAACAAGACAAUGACAUGAUUAGCUCUACAGAGGCAGGGAUAUGUUUUGGAGAGGGGAAAGAUUAGAGGCAGGAAGGUCAGUUAGGAGUUUCUGGAACAAGCCCAGCAUGAGGUGAUGAGACUGAGAUCAGGUACUAGCCAGUGGCUGUGGAAAGAGACCAGGCAUAAGAGACAUUUCUUCUUACACAGAACAGACUGGAACUGAUGACCAAUGGGGUGUGGGGAGUGAGGACGACUUCUGGCUCUUCGAAUUGGAAACUGGGGGUCUGUUCAUGCACUAAUCCAGAUUGGGGACCUGGGGACAGAGUGGGGAAGGCAAGGAGAUGACGAGUUUGACUUUGAGUUUGCUAAGUUAUUCGAGUUCCUGGAGCACACCAUGGUGCCUUGUCAGUUAGGGAGCUGCCCCCGUGGAGUGGGUAGGUGAGAAUCAGUCCUGUGUUCGACUUUUCUUUCCUCAGAGAAGGGAAAAAAAAGCCCCAGAAUGCAACGGGCCCUUCCCAGACAUGCCUCUCAAUAUCGCGUGGGGGCUGCGAUGGUUACAUCGAGAGUCUGUUGGGUAAGACACUGAGCAUGAGCACGUCACGGGGUGAGGUGUGGAAUAGCGGACAACUCAGCUGCGAGUUCGAGGUCAGGGCGGGCCAAGCAGAAUGUACGAGUUUCCUAUGGCUGUUCUGACAAAGACUGGAGGCCUUAACGAGAGAAUUUAUUGACUCACGGUGCUGGAGGCCAGAAGUCCCAACUCAAGGUGUUGGGAGAGCUGGCUGUUCCUUCUAAGGGCUGCGAGGGAGGGGUGUGUCCCAUACCCCUCCCCUCGGCUUGUAGAAGGCCAUCUCCUUCCUAUGCCUCUUCACACCUGUCUUCCCCCUGUAUGUGUCUUUGUGUCCGAAGUUGUCCUUUGCAUAAGGCCAGAUUGCGUUAGGGCCCCUUCCCCAAUGACCUCAUUUUAACUUGAGUGGGCUAUAGAGUUUCCUCUCCAAAUAAGGUCACAUUCUGAAGUACUGGGAUUGAGGACUUUAGCGUGUGACUUCUGGAGGGUGGGGGGUACGUAAGUCAUCCCGUAACACAGAAUGCAAAGCCAGGGCAGAAGAAAGAUCCUGUGGGACCGGCCUCAGAGCAUGUCAGAGAGCAGUCAGGGCCGUGAAGAGUUCUGCUUAAACAUCUCCCCAGGGCUGGGGCUGAGGACGACCAGGUAGACGGUGUGGCAAGCGGGAGCCAUGAAAGGCGUGGGAGCAGGGGGAGAAGUCACUCGUAUCUGUGCUUCGGGAAGAUCUCGUGAGGAGAAGCGAGCAGCCGUGUGACCACCAUGAGCCAGCCCCUCCUCCCCUGCCCCCUCCCCCAGGGGACUCUGAACCUUCUGAUACCUCUUGCCGGGAGCACAAAUCCAGACCGUAGCACAGGGACAAAGGGACAAACAGAUCUGCCCCGGCGGGGACCUGAGUGUUUCCAGAGAAGUCCCCUAGGCCCCGCUCUUUGUCAGAACAGGCAGGAUCCCAGGGAUUAGAAGGAGCGGUGGCCCCGCUGGGUUAAGCGAGCGUUAACCCCUGUGAUAGGCCCUGAGCUCUCUCGCUGAUCUCCUAACCUGAAGGCUCCUGAAACACCGGACGAUUAAUGGCAGAUCACUUAAAACCAGUUCAGUUCACUCUUGGAGAUUAAUGUCAGCCCUGCCCUCCGGAAGCCUCCGGAGCCAACCAGUGCUGCAUUGCCCGGGUUUUCUGGAAGCAGAGAGGAGUGCAGCAGUGCUCCCUCGGGGGCCUCUGGCUGCUGCUGGGUGUCCUUUGCGGGCCUUCCUCGGAGGGGUUACUGGUUCUGUGUUGCUGCAGGUUAAGGGUCCGUCCCCAGGGAGGGCGUCCUCUGGGUUAGGCAGACUUGGCUGUUCCUGGAGGGGGGGGAAGGGGGGGGUGGCUGUCCCCCGACAUCCGAGGACUUGGACAACGCUGGGCUCUACACUUCACGACCAGCAAGAGCUUUUCUGGCUUUAGAUUCAGGGUGGCCCUGCCAACCCGUUCUCUCUCUCUCUCUCUCUCUCUUUUUAAAGUUUAUUAAAUUAUCUUGAAUGAGAGAGAGAGAGCCGGAGGGGCAGACAGAGAGGGAGAGAGAGAGAAUCCCAGGCAGGCUCUGCACUGUCAGCACAGAGCCGGAAGCGGGGCUCAAACUCACAGUGAGAUCAUGACCUGAGCGGAAACCAAGAGUCGGAAGCUUCACCGACUGAGCCCCCGCAGGUGCCCCGGUUCUCUCUUUUUGGGUCUCUGUGUCUCUCUUACGGCCCCUGUCUCUGGGGCUCUGCCCCUCUUUCUGAGUCUGCCCUCGUUGUGUUUGUCUUUCCUGCCUCUCCCUUUGCAUUAAGUUCUCGGUCACUCUGUGUGUGUCUCUCUCUGUGUCCCAGCCCUCUUUCUGUCUGCCUUUCCAUGUCCUUCUGUCUGUCUGCUUCCCCUUCAUCUCCAGGCCUCUGUGUCUGUGUCCACGUUUGCCUCUGGAUCUCUUUGUCAGCGUAUCUCAAAGCGCCGGGUUUUCCUCUGGUCUUUGGUGGCUGUGGUGGUGACAUUAGCUGGGAAACCUAAAGUCAAUCUCGAAGAUUCACACCUACAUUAGCAUGUCAGAAGCACAGACCCACCGGCAGGAAACAGCCUUUCUUGUUCCUGUCCUCCCCUUCGCUUUCCACCUGACUCGUUUGACAACGGAACCAUUUUACCUCCGAACACCUACCAACAUCCUGCGGAAUAAUCUCAGGUUUCUGCUCUGCGCUCUUGGCCCUGCUCCCUGUUUGUCUUUCCAGCUCCCUCUCUGUCUUUUCUCUCUGUGUCUCUGAGUCUCUGUCUCCUACAUUCCUGAGUCCUCACCCUCCCCUUUGUGUAGCUCUCUCUCUGGGUUGGCCAGCCCAGGGCUGGCUGUAGGUCUCAGGUUUUUUUCCCCCUCUUCCUCUGUUCGCUGACUGGCUCUCUGUAUUUCCGUGUGUGUGUGUGUGUGUGUGUGUGUGUGUGUGUGUCUCCUGUUUCUGCUAUGCCCCGGGUCAGCCUCGGCCUGAGGUCCAGGAUGGGUGGGGGUUCCUUGGCCUUUCUCAGGAGCCUGGGUGCUGGGAUGGCGAGUGGUGAGCAAUGUGGGUCAGAGUGAGGCUGAGUGAGGGCCCUUUUCCACCACAGGAGGAAGGGAACCAGGGGAUCACAAUGCCACGGCCCCUGAGUGUGUUCCAAGUCCCGGGCGGCAGGUGUGGGUGGAGGGGCACGGGUUAGCCUGCUGCAGGCCUGGUGGGGGUGGGGGGGUGGGGGGACGUGCUUGAGCCCCACAGACUUCCACUGCCCCUGCCUGAGAUCAGCCCGGGGCCACAUGGGCCGAGGACUAAUAUGAAGUAAAUACAGAGGGGAGAGGAGUGAAAAGAGGCUUGAGGAAGCACAUUGCUGCUCUUUCCUCCUGAUCCCAGUUCUCCCUCCUCUCUCUGCUUGCCCUGCAACUCGGCUCCUUAGCUCGAGCCUGCAGCCUCCUUCCUCUCUGUUGGCCUUUCGAGCAAGCUGUUACCUGUUUCUGCUGCGUGAGCGGGUCCUAAGAGGAAGGCCUGACGUGCGUCGGAUGCUUCGGACCUGAGAUGUCACCAAGAACUUUUGCACGUGCUGGGGCAACCACCCAGUGAGAGAGCAGCCCCGUUCCCGUUUCGUGGAUGAGGAGGCCAGAGAGGGUGAGUGAGUUGCCCAGCAUCACACAGCAAAGAAGCGAAGCUCAAGUCAGCCAAUGCAAGUCCACCUUUCGACCCCUCCCCCACCCCCACCCCCACGGCCUCCAUGGACUCCUCCGGAGGGGUCGGGUCUUUCCCAGAAACAAGCCAGUUCCCUCACCCUCCUGCUGGCUCUGGCCAUCUUGGCAGUGCGGCUUGGGGCAGGACAGCACCCCGGCUGACACCAGACCCCUCGGGCUUCGCGGGCUCACCCCGCCCAGGCCUGCUGAACCCCGAGCCACACUGGGGGGGGGGGUUGGGGCCCUGGGGUGGGGAGUCUGCACCCCGACCCCGGCAGGUCCUUUGCUGAUCUGUCUUCUUUUCUUCUAACCUCGGCUCUACGGUGCCAGGAGGAGCUGCAAAGAGGGAGCUGGCGCUGAUACAAAUUAUUUUGGAUUCCGGAACACUGACCGUCAGCGACUUUGGCAGCAGGUGAAUUUCCAGUCUUGUCUUACAUAAGGAAACACCAAGUUCACGUUUCCAAACAUACGAGAAAACCAUUCCUCCGCGGUGACCCGCCAUCAGAAGGGCGACAUGAGGACACGUGGUGGAGCAGGGCUGAGCAGGGAGGGGGCUCGGG